Macrobrachium nipponense is the source of this 399-nucleotide long non-coding RNA. RefSeq lists it as uncharacterized. Lineage: Eukaryota; Metazoa; Arthropoda; Malacostraca; Decapoda; Palaemonidae. The record is from RefSeq and is a predicted model, not a curated record. The transcript has 4 exons.
CAGUGAGUCGCCAGAGUUGAUCCGCGUCUGCUUGUUGGGUGCAUUGUUCUAUAAAAGUUUAUUCUGUGGUUGUGGUCAUCAUUCGUUGAAAUGCGUCUCUUUCUUGGAAUGAUCCUAAUUUUUGUGGUUCUUCUGGGACUACUGGCAGAAGGGGAAGGGACCCCGUACGGAGGUGGUAGAGGUCCACCUAAACCGCAUCCAACACAGUGCUGCCCACCUCACUGCUCCUGCUGUGACCCAUACAAACCCUGCACUUGCAUUAUCCCAUGCCCAGAGGGUUCAGAGACUGGCGAGUGAUGACACAGGCAGUUAAGGAAGUUCCAUCAAGAGAGAGGUGAUUAGGAAGCGGUUUCUGGAAACGGGAUGUCAGCUUGUCAGUUCAUUAAAAGAUUGCAGAUU